CCCUGACAGUCGCAUUGGGCGGCUGACACUAGCCACGACAGGAGAAUGACAUG
This 53-nucleotide non-coding RNA is filed under the name unclassified sequences. RNAcentral's name for it is "Mu-gpT-DE RNA". It matches the Rfam family "Mu-gpT-DE RNA". The record is from Rfam by way of RNAcentral.